This 73-nucleotide transfer RNA is filed under the name Agrilus planipennis (emerald ash borer). It matches the Rfam family "tRNA". Rfam says of the family: Transfer RNA (tRNA) molecules are approximately 80 nucleotides in length. Their secondary structure includes four short double-helical elements and three loops (D, anti-codon, and T loops). Further hydrogen bonds mediate the characteristic L-shaped molecular structure. tRNAs have two regions of fundamental functional importance: the anti-codon, which is responsible for specific mRNA codon recognition, and the 3' end, to which the tRNAs corresponding amino acid is attached (by aminoacyl-tRNA synthetases). tRNAs cope with the degeneracy of the genetic code in two manners: having more than one tRNA (with a specific anti-codon) for a particular amino acid; and 'wobble' base-pairing, i.e. permitting non-standard base-pairing at the 3rd anti-codon position. The record is from Rfam by way of RNAcentral. Lineage: Eukaryota; Metazoa; Arthropoda; Insecta; Coleoptera; Buprestidae.
CCUCUCGUAGGUUAGUAGUCCGAGCAUUGGUGCGUAAAGCCAAAGGUCCCAGGUUCGAUUCCCGGCGAGGGUG